This 70-nucleotide transfer RNA is filed under the name Filchnerella nigritibia. RNAcentral describes it as "tRNA-Asp". Lineage: Eukaryota; Metazoa; Arthropoda; Insecta; Orthoptera; Pamphagidae. The record is from RNAcentral. RNAcentral also lists the same sequence under 1 other name.
AAGGAGUUAGUUAAAAUAAAUAUAACAUUAGAGUGUCAAUCUAAAAUUACUAACCGAUUAGUACACCUUG